RNAcentral lists this non-coding RNA (261 nucleotides) under Secundilactobacillus similis. Its description in RNAcentral is "Lactobacillus similis T-box sequence". It matches the Rfam family "T-box leader". Rfam says of the family: Uncharged tRNA acts as the effector for transcription antitermination of genes in the T-box leader family. T-boxes are found upstream of many aminoacyl-tRNA synthetase genes and some amino acid biosynthetic genes usually in Gram-positive bacteria. Lineage: Bacteria; Bacillati; Bacillota; Bacilli; Lactobacillales; Lactobacillaceae. The record is from RNAcentral.
AUAAAGACUAUGCGUAGAAGAGUAGUCGUUAGUCAAGUUCUCAGGGAGCCUCAGUAAGUGCGACGAGGUAGCGGAUCUAACGAUGAAAGUAAUCUACAAGUCGUGACCGCGACGGCAACGAAGUGGUCACUGGGAGUGCGCCCAUUACAGCAAUGAAGUAUCGUCGACAGACCGCGCAUCUGUAGGCCGUACUUUCUAAGCCAGUCAUCGUGAGGUGAUUGGAAAUUAAGGUGGUAACACGUCAAUUAACACGUCCUUAGC